GCUACCUAUAAAGAGCAGAGGAAUCGAGGUUCUGCGCAGUUUGUGAAACAAACAGCCGGACGAACAGUAAAUACACACCGGGACGCUGCCCCUUCUUGGACCUCAAACUCUGCAAUUAAAAUUCGGGGUCUCUCCCCACCGCCUUCGAGGUCUGCUCCAGACCGUCAGCCUCAGCAGCUUUUGAAAGUGGCAAAGUUGUGCGGUUGACAGUCUUGUACACACAUUAGAGAUAAUCGAACUGCGCUCCGACCGAAGACCCCUGAAUCAUAUCACUUCAAGGCUGGGACUUUAAGAUUUGGCACUUCUGUUUCAGAUCAGUGUCAACCGUGUGUCAUCUUGAGAGGGCUCCACAAGAAUGGUAAAAUAAUCCAGUAACGUGGUGGAGACAGAUGCAAUGAGAGUGGCCACGAGUUGACAGAUAAUGUUGGAAAAGUGGGGAAGACUUCGGGGAGCUUCAUAAGGCAUUUGCCUCCAUUCGUCUACACACACAAAAAUAUCCGUUCCAAAAGAAACCAGAAGGUCUGGCAGCUCUCUACAUAUGGGACCAUCUCUUUUUUUGUGUGCCUUGGGAAGGACAGCUCGCUUCUAAGUGGCAGGCACUACUGGAUCCCAUCCAAGAUAUUACAUCACAUUUAAUUGUCACGUCUCUUGGGGCGCCUGGGUGGCGCAGUCGGUUAAGCGUCCGACUUCAGCCAGGUCACGAUCUCGCGGUCCGGGAGUUCGAGCCCCGCGUCGGGCUCUGGGCUGAUGGCUCGGAGCCUGGAGCCUGU
Felis catus (domestic cat) is the source of this 770-nucleotide long non-coding RNA. RefSeq lists it as uncharacterized. The transcript has 5 exons. NCBI's taxonomy places the organism in Eukaryota, Metazoa, Chordata, Mammalia, Carnivora, Felidae. The record is from RefSeq and is a predicted model, not a curated record.